UACGGAGGGAGCUAGCGUUGUUCGGAAUUACUGGGCGUAAAGCGCACGUAGGCGGCUUUUUAGGUUAGGGGUGAAAGCCUGGGGCUCAACCCCAGAAUUGCCUUUAAGACUGCAUCGCUUGAAUCCAGGAGAGGUGAGUGGAAUUCCGAGUGUAGAGGUGAAAUUCGUAGAUAUUCGGAAGAACACCAGUGGCGAAGGCGGCUCACUGGCCCGGUACUGACGCUGAGGUGCGAAAGCGUGGGGAGCAAACAGG
This 253-nucleotide ribosomal RNA is filed under the name uncultured bacterium. RNAcentral describes it as "partial 16S ribosomal RNA". It matches the Rfam family "Bacterial small subunit ribosomal RNA", at positions 524 to 776 of the family's 1533-position model. The record is from RNAcentral.